GGGGGGGGGGGGGGGGGGGGGUGGGGGGGGGGGGGGGGGGGGGGGGGGCGUGGGGGUGGGGGGUGGUCGAGGGGGGGGGGGGGGAGUAAGAGGUGAGUAACCUGCCCUUGACUUUGGGAUAACUUCAGGGAACUGGGGCUAAUACCGGAUAGGAGGUCCUGCUGCAUGGUGGGGGUUGGAGAGUUUCGGCGGUUGGGGAUGGACUCGCGGCUUAUCAGCUUGUUGGUGGGGUAGUGGCUUACCAAGGCUUUGACGGGUAGCCGGCCUGAGAGGGUGACCGGCCACAUUGGGACUGAGAUACGGCCCAGACUCCUACGGGAGGCAGCAGUGGGGAAUAUUGCACAAUGGGCGGAAGCCUGAUGCAGCAACGCCGCGUGCGGGAUGACGGCCUUCGGGUUGUAAACCGCUUUCGCCUGUGACGAAGCGUGAGUGACGGUAAUGGGUAAAGAAGCACCGGCUAACUACGUG
This 468-nucleotide ribosomal RNA is filed under the name uncultured bacterium. Its description in RNAcentral is "partial 16S ribosomal RNA". It matches the Rfam family "Bacterial small subunit ribosomal RNA", at positions 38 to 507 of the family's 1533-position model. The record is from RNAcentral.